RNAcentral lists this ribosomal RNA (207 nucleotides) under uncultured bacterium. RNAcentral's name for it is "partial 16S ribosomal RNA". It matches the Rfam family "Bacterial small subunit ribosomal RNA", at positions 568 to 774 of the family's 1533-position model. The record is from RNAcentral.
CACGUAGGCGGACUGAUCAGUCAGGGGUGAAAUCCCGGGGCUCAACCCCGGAACUGCCUUUGAUACUGUCAGCCUUGAGUCCGAGAGAGGUGAGUGGAACUCCGAGUGUAGAGGUGAAAUUCGUAGAUAUUCGGAAGAACACCAGUGGCGAAGGCGGCUCACUGGCUCGGUACUGACGCUGAGGUGCGAAAGCGUGGGGAGCAAACA